CAACUACUCCCUCCGUUCAGAAUUAGUUGUCGCAGAAAUGGAUGUAUUUAGAUGUAUUUUAGUUCUAGAAACAUCCAUUUCCAAGACAAGUAAUUCUGAACGGAGGGAGUAAGUU
Molecule: non-coding RNA, 115 nt
Organism: Triticum aestivum (bread wheat)
Lineage: Eukaryota; Viridiplantae; Streptophyta; Magnoliopsida; Poales; Poaceae
Source: Rfam